AAGCUUUAACUGAAGAGUUUGAUCCUGGCUCAGAGUGAACGCUGGCGGCAGGCCUAACACAUGCAAGUCGA
This 71-nucleotide ribosomal RNA is filed under the name Lysobacteraceae bacterium. RNAcentral's name for it is "Xanthomonadaceae bacterium partial 16S ribosomal RNA". It matches the Rfam family "Bacterial small subunit ribosomal RNA", at positions 1 to 65 of the family's 1533-position model. Lineage: Bacteria; Pseudomonadati; Pseudomonadota; Gammaproteobacteria; Lysobacterales; Lysobacteraceae. The record is from RNAcentral.